GAUGAACGCUGGCGGCGUGCCUAAUACAUGCAAGUCGAGCGAAGAGACGAGGAGCUUGCUCCUCUGACGUUAGCGGCGGACGGGUGAGUAACACGUGGAUAACCUACCUAUAAGACUGGGAUAACUUCGGGAAACCGGAGCUAAUACCGGAUAAUAUAUUGAACCGCAUGGUUCAAUAGUGAAAGACGGUUUUGCUGUCACUUAUAGAUGGAUCCGCGCCGCAUUAGCUAGUUGGUAAGGUAACGGCUUACCAAGGCAACGAUGCGUAGCCGACCUGAGAGGGUGAUCGGCCACACUGGAACUGAGACACGGUCCAGACGCCUACGGGAGGCAGCAGUAGGGAAUCUUCCGCAAUGGGCGAAAGCUUGACGGAGCAACGCCGCGUGAGUGAUGAAGGUCUUCGGAUCGUAAAACUCUGUUAUUAGGGAAGAACAAAUGUGUAAGUAACUAUGCACGUCUUGACGGUACCUAAUCAGAAAGCCACGGCUAACUACGUG
Molecule: ribosomal RNA, 497 nt
Filed under: uncultured bacterium
Lineage: Bacteria
Description: partial 16S ribosomal RNA
Rfam family: Bacterial small subunit ribosomal RNA
Source: RNAcentral